This 466-nucleotide ribosomal RNA is filed under the name uncultured bacterium. Its description in RNAcentral is "partial 16S ribosomal RNA". It matches the Rfam family "Bacterial small subunit ribosomal RNA", at positions 28 to 507 of the family's 1533-position model. The record is from RNAcentral.
GAUGAACGCUGGCGGCGUGCUUAACACAUGCAAGUCGAACGAUGAAGCCCAGCUUGCUGGGUGGGUUAGUGGCGAACGGGUGAGUAACACGUGAGUAACCUGCCCUUUACUCUGGGAUAAGCCUGGAAAACUGGGUCUAAUACCGGAUAGGAGCGUCCACCGCAUGGUGGGUGUUGGAGAGAUUUAUCGGUUUUGGAUGGACUCGCGGCCUAUCAGCUUGUUGGUGGGGUAAUGGCUCACCAAGGCGACGACGGGUAGCCGGCCUGAGAGGGUGACCGGCCACACUGGGACUGAGACACGGCCCAGACUCCUACGGGAGGCAGCAGUGGGGAAUAUUGCACAAUGGGCGCAAGCCUGAUGCAGCGACGCCGCGUGAGGGAUGACGGCCUUCGGGUUGUAAACCGCUUUCAGUAGGGAAGAAGCGAAAGUGACGGUACCUGCAGAAGAAGCACCGGCUAACUACGUG